GGGCGAUUAGCUCAGUUGGGAGAGCACCUGCCUUACAAGCAGGGGGUCACUGGUUCGAGCCCGGUAUCGCCCC
RNAcentral lists this transfer RNA (73 nucleotides) under Vibrio parahaemolyticus. RNAcentral describes it as "tRNA-Val". It matches the Rfam family "tRNA". Rfam says of the family: Transfer RNA (tRNA) molecules are approximately 80 nucleotides in length. Their secondary structure includes four short double-helical elements and three loops (D, anti-codon, and T loops). Lineage: Bacteria; Pseudomonadati; Pseudomonadota; Gammaproteobacteria; Vibrionales; Vibrionaceae. The record is from RNAcentral.